This is a small nucleolar RNA of Otolemur garnettii (small-eared galago), 124 nucleotides long. The record is from Ensembl. NCBI's taxonomy places the organism in Eukaryota, Metazoa, Chordata, Mammalia, Primates, Galagidae.
CCAUCACAGCCUACAAAGGAACUUCAAAUACAGAACAUCAUUGCCUGAGGAUAGACAAGCAAGCUCACGUCCCUCCCCAGUAAGACUUUGCUAUCUUUUGGGGCCUACAAGGUGAGCUGACAGU